Molecule: ribosomal RNA, 500 nt
Filed under: uncultured bacterium
Lineage: Bacteria
Description: bacterial SSU rRNA
Rfam family: Bacterial small subunit ribosomal RNA
Source: RNAcentral
GACGAACGCUGGCGGCGUGCUUAACACAUGCAAGUCGAACGGACGAGUGAGAUAAGUUUACUUAACUCACAAGUUAGUGGCGGACGGGUGAGUAACACGUGGAUAAUCUACCUGCAACACCGGGAUAACGCUGUGAAAACGGUGCUAAUACCGGAUACGUUCCCUUGUGCGCAUGUAUGAGGGAAGAAAGCUCAGGCGGUUGCAGAUGAGUCCGCGGCUGAUUAGCUAGUUGGUGAGGUAAAGGCUCACCAAGGCGAUGAUCAGUAGCCGGCCUGAGAGGGUGAACGGCCACACUGGGACUGAGACACGGCCCAGACUCCUACGGGAGGCAGCAGUGGGGAAUCUUCCGCAAUGGGCGCAAGCCUGACGGAGCAACGUCGCGUGGGUGAAGAAGGCCUUGGGUGUAAAGCCUGUCUUAUGGGAAGAAGUCAGUGACGGUACCAUAGGAGGAAGCCACGGCUAACUACGUGCCAGCAGCCGACGGUAAAAGUACGUCUACG